This is a long non-coding RNA of Zingiber officinale, 605 nucleotides long. RefSeq lists it as uncharacterized. NCBI's taxonomy places the organism in Eukaryota, Viridiplantae, Streptophyta, Magnoliopsida, Zingiberales, Zingiberaceae. The record is from RefSeq and is a predicted model, not a curated record. The transcript has 2 exons.
UACUUCGGUGGUUCCCCAGUUCUCUCUUGGUUCCACUGCCUCACAACGCAAUUUGUUUGGUUGAAUAUUUUCCUUCAUCCUCUUCUUCUUUGCCUUUCUUCAGUUCUCUUUAUCGACCUAAACAGGAAUUCGAAGAGUUCAAGGAAUUUGACCUGAAAAAAAGAUGGUUCUUGAAUCAUUGUCAUCCCCUCAUAGGAGAAGCCAAACCGUGAUUCUUGUAUCACCUCCACCGGAGAAGCAGUCGCCGAUAGGUGGCCAAGAAUUUGAUAGUUGGUCCAUUCUGCUCCAGCGGCACAGGUUUCUCCUGACGAUGCUAACGCUCUUGGCAAUCCUGUGCACCAUCUAUCUCUAUUUCGCGAUCACUUUUGGCGUGGCUAUAGAUUCGUGUUCAGUUUUGUCGGGAGCUAAGAAGGCACUGUGCCAAGCCAAAGCUUUGGAAGUCAAGAAGUUUAAGCCAUGAUCGGAGCCUACGAGUUCAGAUCAAGAUGUCUCAAUAUUUUUUCCUUGAAAAAAAAGGAACACAAUAUAUGGAUCUUGAUCUGUCUAUAUGACGCUUCUUUCUUGUGUUUCUAAGCUUGUUCAAUGUUGUGUGAUGGUUAAUUGUA